UACAGAGGGGGCAAGCGUUGUUCGGAAUUACUGGGCGUAAAGGGCGCGUAGGCGGCCUGUUAAGUCGAACGUGAAAUCCCCGGGCUCAACCCGGGAACUGCGUCCGAUACUGGUAGGCUUGAGUCCGGAAGAGGCGAGUGGAAUUCCUGGUGUAGCGGUGAAAUGCGCAGAUAUCAGGAGGAACACCAAUGGCGAAGGCAGCUCGCUGGGACGGUACUGACACUGAGACGCGAAAGCGUGGGGAGCAAACAGG
Molecule: ribosomal RNA, 253 nt
Filed under: uncultured bacterium
Lineage: Bacteria
Description: partial 16S ribosomal RNA
Rfam family: Bacterial small subunit ribosomal RNA
Source: RNAcentral